CGAAGUAGCAAUACUUAGUGGCAGACGGGUGAGUAACAUGUGGGUAUCUGCCCUUUGGCCUGGAAUAACACGAGGAAACUUGUGCUAAUACCGGAUAAGUCUUUACAGAGAAAGCUUUAUGCACCAUUGGAUGAGCCUGCACUUGAUUAGUUUGUUGGUGGGGUAAUGGCCUACCAAGACUGUGAUCAAUAGCUGAUUUGAGAGGAUGAUCAGCCACAUUGGGACUGAGACACGGCCCAAACUCCUACGGGAGGCAGCAGUGGGGAAUCUUGCACAAUGGAGGAAACUCUGAUGCAGCGAUGCCGCGUGAGUGAAGAAGGCCUUUGGGUUGUAAAGCUCUUUCGUCGGGGAAGAAAAUGACUGUACCCGAAUAAGAAGGUCCGGCUAA
This 388-nucleotide ribosomal RNA is filed under the name uncultured Pseudomonadota bacterium. Its description in RNAcentral is "bacterial SSU rRNA". It matches the Rfam family "Bacterial small subunit ribosomal RNA", at positions 67 to 500 of the family's 1533-position model. Lineage: Bacteria; Pseudomonadati; Pseudomonadota. The record is from RNAcentral.